UGUCUGCCCACCUGCCUGCCUCU
RNAcentral lists this microRNA (23 nucleotides) under Echinops telfairi (small Madagascar hedgehog). RNAcentral describes it as "Ete-Mir-346_5p (mature (guide))". Lineage: Eukaryota; Metazoa; Chordata; Mammalia; Afrosoricida; Tenrecidae. The record is from RNAcentral.